Molecule: long non-coding RNA, 876 nt
Organism: Ictalurus punctatus (channel catfish)
Lineage: Eukaryota; Metazoa; Chordata; Actinopteri; Siluriformes; Ictaluridae
Source: Ensembl
AGAAGAGGUACCUCUCACACCACUGCUCAUUUUACACAGGUUAUCAUCCAAUAAACAUACUGAAGCAAUUGCAGUCAGCAUCUAAACUAAUUUCUGAAGCAAUACAGCAUUGUUAAAAUAAACUACAGUGCCUUGCAUAAGCAUUCACCCCCUUUUCCAUGUUUUUUACUUGAAUAUUAUGGAAUAUGUUUUAUGUUCAUUACAUAUAAUCCCACUUAGGUCCAUUUUCAUUCCAGGUUGUAACACUGUAAAAUGUAGAAACUUUCAAAUGGGCCAAAUACUUAUGCAAGACACUGUCAGCUGGCUAGCUAAUAAAUGUAUAUGGCACUACAAGUGCUGAAACUUUGUUCUGUUGGACAGUCUAAUCACAUUUAUUGUGUUUCUAAUACAUGAUAUGUGUUGAUUUGGUUGUUUUCUUGAAGGACGAAGGCUGCUGCCAGCCCAGCAGGAGAGUCUAGAGAGUAUAGCGGCUCAUCAGCCCGACAUCAACACAUCAUGCGGGACUCGGUGGGUGACUGAGUAUGUGGAAAACUUUGGUUUGUCGCAACCUGUCCAUUUACCUUGUGCUUCGAAAAAAUCUGCACGCCGUUUGGUCUCGACCUUUCGGAGAAUACCUAACCCUCAUUUUGCAGACAAGUAUCAACGCUCUGAAUACCAGGCCAUCUAUGGUCCUGAGGUAGUAUAAAAUUCUGUACUAAUUAUAAAAGGGCAGUGACAGUAGUACAAUUUCCAGACUCCCUUACAUUUACAGAAUUUGGAACUUAGCCAGUUUUUCUACAACUAGUACUUAGUCCAGCCCUUGUGUCUUGUGCUGACUCUCUCUGUUCUUACCAUAACUAUCCUUUUUGUUCUUUUUUCUGGCAAAUGAAACAUAUU